Molecule: transfer RNA, 69 nt
Filed under: Corizus sp. 'albomarginatus'
Lineage: Eukaryota; Metazoa; Arthropoda; Insecta; Hemiptera; Rhopalidae
Description: tRNA-Trp
Source: RNAcentral
AAAGCUUUAAGUUAAAUAAACUAUUAACCUUCAAAGUUAAAUAUAUAUAUAUAUAUUAUAUAAGCUUUA